UACGGUGGGGGCAAGCGUUGUUCGGAAUUACUGGGCGUAAAGGGCUCGUAGGUGGCCAACUAAGUCAGACGUGAAAUCCCUCGGCUUAACCGGGGAACUGCGUCUGAUACUGGAUGGCUUGAGUUUGGGAGAGGGACGCGGAAUUCCAGGUGUAGCGGUGAAAUGCGUAGAUAUCUGGAGGAACACCGGUGGCGAAGGCGGCGUCCUGGACCAACACUGACACUGAUGAGCGAAAGCCAGGGGAGCAAACGGG
Molecule: ribosomal RNA, 253 nt
Filed under: uncultured bacterium
Lineage: Bacteria
Description: partial 16S ribosomal RNA
Rfam family: Bacterial small subunit ribosomal RNA
Source: RNAcentral